GUGGAUUACUUUACUUUUUGUUAACGAGAACUUUAGCAAAGUCAAAGAAGCAUUCAACUCACAAGGUGUGAAAACCCUUGUUACAAGUGAAAAUUUUCAGGAUCAAUUUUUUUUAAUGGAUGGGUAGAGGCUGCAUAAGUCCGAGUGAAGCAAGUACAUCUGACUUAUUUCUUUGAGUGGCAAAGAAAAGAAAAGCCUUAUCACUUGCACAAGAAAGGAAACGCGAUAGCGUGACUAAGCACCCUGUUAGUUCCUGAAGCUCUUUAACAUUGGAAUGGCUCCUCGUGUCAAUGAUGACCUAACAAUUGCAUGGGUUCUCAUAUAUGCUUCCCUUGAUUAACAUAUAAUCAACAAACUUGGUCAUUUACAUGUCAAAUAAGAACUUGGCAGGAUUCAGGCACAUGUUGUAGUACUUGAUUGAUCCUAAGAUAUCUUAUAAGUCUGGUGUGUGACCCCCCCCCCCCCCCUAUGGUCUUUACUAUCAUGUCAUAAAUAUAGAAUUCAAGGUUGCACUCUAAUUGUUUUGAGAAUACCGUGUCCAUGAGUCUCUGAUAGGUGACAUUUUCGUUCUUUAACCCAAAAGGCAUGACCUUGUAAUAAUAGUUUUCAUGAUUGGCAUGAAAGUUGUCUUGGGCUCGUCCAUGGGAUUCAUCUUAAUUUGUUUGUAUUUAGAGUAGGCAUCCAUGAAACUCAAUAUUUUGUAGUUUGAAGAUUUUUCAAUUAGGUGAUUUAUGU
Long non-coding RNA from Lathyrus oleraceus (garden pea), 735 nucleotides. RefSeq lists it as uncharacterized. The transcript is spliced from 3 exons. NCBI's taxonomy places the organism in Eukaryota, Viridiplantae, Streptophyta, Magnoliopsida, Fabales, Fabaceae. The record is from RefSeq and is a predicted model, not a curated record.